GCCCCUCCUCUUGUUGGAAAAAAAGGAGAAGAAAUCAAAUUUCUUGAUUUCCUCUGGUGAUCAACAACAUCCCCUUCCUGUCGUCUUAUGCAACACAUUUUACAUGGAACUCUUGCUACAGUACAACACAGUUGUGUAACAGCUUGGCAAUGGAGGAAACCGAGUCAACUAUGGUAGAGAAACCAACAGGAGAAAGUGAGAAUCAGAAGUUAGAUGAGACCCUGUUGUUGUCCAGCAAACCUCUGCACCGUUUUGUCCAAAAACAACCCAGAAGCUUUGGGAUUGUGAUUCUGAUGUUUGGUUGUGCUGAGAUUGUGAUGGGAUGUUCAAUGGCUGGUAUUAACAUGGAAACCUCAUUCAAAAUGUAUAUUCCCUUCUGGCAAGGAACUCUGUUCAUUACAUGUGGAGUCCCUAUCUAUCUACACUGAGUUACAUCCAUCCAAGAAGAUGGUGACCGUAUCCCUGGCCAUGUAUGUGGUCUCUCUGUUGGGCACUAUUAUCACCAUUGUACGAAGGAUAAGCUUAAUCAUUUUCUACACGUGGCAUCUUCGGUUUUACUUCCACAGUGCUAUACUAUUUCUUUGGGUGGAAGGAAUCUUGUCUGCAUCUUCCCUGCUUGUAUCAGCAUUUCUUAUCUUCUUGAGCGCCAUCGCAGGUUAUGCAUUAAGAUCUACGAGAAAAGCAGAUUACUGUCCAGCACUUUGUGAUUGAUCCUCAGAGUGAAGAAAACACAAACUAGGACCAAUGUUCUUCAGUACUAUUCUGCACUUACAUAACACUGUUUUGUUCACUUCAGGUGUUUUUAUCAAUUAUGUCAUAUACUGUACAUGUUUAACAUGUAUUUCAAACUGCUAGACAACAUGAGAUAAAUAUCUUAUUUUAAUUGUUGAAGAGGUCACGUGGCGUAGAUCAGUUUUCAAAUAAAAAGCAACCAGCUCCUUCCUCCUCAUAUAGCGAGACGUAACAGUAUUCAUACCCCUUAAACAUUUCUGUAAUAAGUCACACUAAAAAUUCAACAUGAAAUGUAUUGAAUUGUUGUUUUUUUUAAUUAACAUAAACAAAAUAACCCAUUUAGAAUUACAUUUAGAGCCAGGGUUGUGUACCCAUUCUUCAUGUAAAAAGACUUCAUCUCAAUCUAUGAAGUAUGUGAAUUUACUGACUGACAUAGAUUGUGAAGUUUUACCACAGAUUCUUAGUUGGAUUAAGUCGGAACAUUUGGCCAUUCUUGCACAUAAAUAUCCUUCGGUAAAAUCCGUCCUAUUGUAGCCAUAGCUGUGUGUUUGGUGUGGGUGUUCGAAGGGAAGGUGGAUCUCCACGCAAGACUCCAAGAAGGCUUCGUAUUUAAUUCUAUCAAUAUUACAAUCAACUUUGAUCAUCUUCCUUGACUACUAGCUGUCUUCUGAACUUGAGCUGUAGAUAUCUGAAUCUCCUUCACAGUUACCAUGGAGCUCCUGGUUGUUUCACUGAGGAAUGCUCUCCUUUCCCGGCCUGUCAGUUUAGAUGGACAGACAUAUUUUGGUUGCUGUCUUUCCAUUUUCAGGGAUAUUGUUUCACAGAAAAAACUGUAUUUGUGCUGAGUUUAAAUUACAUAAAGAUGGACUCGUUAAAAAUUAGGUAAUUUUUGAAAAAAGCUAGUUCUUUUGGAUUUUACUGAAGGUUUGAAAGCCACGUAUCAUGUUUCUUCCACAUUAUAAUUAUGCAUAGCAUUGUGUUAUGUUGAUAUAUAACAAAUAAUACAAAAUAAACAGAGGCUUAUGGUUGUAACAUGGCAAAAACCUCAGAAGGUUCAAGGGGUAUAAAUACUCUUAGAAGAGGCUCUAUCCAGUUAAUCUCAGAUGAGAAAGAUUUUUACAACACCUGCACCAAGUUAGAAAAAUGAAACUUUUUCAUUGUAUCUAAAUUUAACCUGAAAAAUUACCACUAACAUCACAUCAGUAAUGUUAGAUUAACAAUGUAUUUUUUAUUGAAUAUUAUUAAUUAAGUGUUUAUUUACUGCUGUUAACCACUUGCUUUAGUUUUUAAUCAUGUACAAAUUUUUAACAGCUUUCAUGGUGACCAGCUUCACAUUUUUAAUCAGAUUACUUUAUUUUUGUAAUAAAUGUGAAUUAACUUUAUUGCAUUAACUGAUUUAAAAAUUUUUUGCUUAAAUAAAUUUGGCUUACAAGUACGCAGAUGUAUAAAAAAAAA
Long non-coding RNA from Xiphophorus hellerii (green swordtail), 2187 nucleotides. RefSeq lists it as uncharacterized. The record is from RefSeq and is a predicted model, not a curated record. NCBI's taxonomy places the organism in Eukaryota, Metazoa, Chordata, Actinopteri, Cyprinodontiformes, Poeciliidae. The transcript has 7 exons.